CUUUUGGGCUGUCGCAGAUGGAUGAGCCUGCGUUGGAUUAGCUAGUUGGUGGGGUAAGGGCCUACCAAGGCUACGAUCCAUAGCUGAUUUGAGAGGAUGAUCAGCCACAUUGGGACUGAGACACGGCCCAAACUCCUACGGGAGGCAGCAGUGAGGAAUAUUGGACAAUGGGGGCAACCCUGAUCCAGCAAUGCCAUGUGUGUGAAGAAGGCCUUAGGGUUGUAAAGCACUUUAGUUGGGGAAGAAAGCUUUGAGGUUAAUAGCCUUGAGGAAAAGGACGUUACCCAAAGAAUAAGCACCGGCUAACUCCGUGCCAGCAGCCGCGGUAAUACGGGGGGUGCAAGCGUUAAUCGGAAUUACUGGGCGUAAAGGGUCUGUAGGUGGUUUGUUAAGUCAGAUGUGAAAGCCUAGGGCUCAACCUUGGAACUGCAUUUGAUACUGGUAAACUAGAGUACGGUAGAGGAAUGGGGAAUUUCUGGUGUAGCGGUGAAAUGCGUAGAGAUCAGAAGGAACACCAAUGGCGAAGGCAACAUUCUGGACCGAUACUGACACUGAGGGACGAAAGCGUGGGGAUCAAACAGGAUUAGAUACCCUGGUAGUCCACGCUGUAAACGAUGAGUACUAGCUGUUGGAGUCGGUGUAAAGGCUCUAGUGGCGCAGCUAACGCGAUAAGUACUCCGCCUGGGGACUACGGCCGCAAGGCUAAAACUCAAAGGAAUUGACGGGGACCCGCACAAGCGGUGGAGCAUGUAGUUUAAUUCGAUGCAACGCGAAGAACCUUACCUGGUCUUGACAUCCUGCGAUCUUUCUAGAGAUAGAUUGGUGCCUUCGGGAACGCAGUGACAGGUGCUGCACGGCUGUCGUCAGCUCGUGUUGUGAAAUGUUGGGUUAAGUCCCGCAACGAGCGCAACCCCUAU
This 917-nucleotide ribosomal RNA is filed under the name Francisella endosymbiont of Dermacentor andersoni. Its description in RNAcentral is "bacterial SSU rRNA". It matches the Rfam family "Bacterial small subunit ribosomal RNA", at positions 208 to 1108 of the family's 1533-position model. The record is from RNAcentral. Lineage: Bacteria; Pseudomonadati; Pseudomonadota; Gammaproteobacteria; Thiotrichales; Francisellaceae.